GCCGAGAUAGCUUAGUGGUAGAGCACCUCCUUGGUAAGGAGGAGGUUGUGGGUUCAAUCCCCACUCUCGGCU
RNAcentral lists this transfer RNA (72 nucleotides) under Endomicrobium sp. RNAcentral describes it as "tRNA-Thr". It matches the Rfam family "tRNA". From Rfam's summary of the family: Transfer RNA (tRNA) molecules are approximately 80 nucleotides in length. Their secondary structure includes four short double-helical elements and three loops (D, anti-codon, and T loops). Further hydrogen bonds mediate the characteristic L-shaped molecular structure. tRNAs have two regions of fundamental functional importance: the anti-codon, which is responsible for specific mRNA codon recognition, and the 3' end, to which the tRNAs corresponding amino acid is attached (by aminoacyl-tRNA synthetases). tRNAs cope with the degeneracy of the genetic code in two manners: having more than one tRNA (with a specific anti-codon) for a particular amino acid; and 'wobble' base-pairing, i.e. permitting non-standard base-pairing at the 3rd anti-codon position. The record is from RNAcentral. Lineage: Bacteria; Pseudomonadati; Elusimicrobiota; Endomicrobiia; Endomicrobiales; Endomicrobiaceae.